Molecule: long non-coding RNA, 301 nt
Filed under: Musa acuminata (dwarf banana)
Lineage: Eukaryota; Viridiplantae; Streptophyta; Magnoliopsida; Zingiberales; Musaceae
Description: long non-coding RNA (MACU_LNC004657)
Source: RNAcentral
UUACUACAGAAUACCACCUGCAUAGGUUUGGAUGAAUUUAUGCACAAGUUAUGUGGACCUUUAGAGAGUAGGGAUUUUAUGCACAAGUUAUGUGGACCUUUAGAGACUAGGGUUUUUAUGCACAAUUUAUGCACAACUAAGCUCAUAAAAUGAACUGCAUGAUGUAUAACCAUUGUAUCACCAAGGAAAGAUAACAAAUAUCAUCAAAAUAAAUGGACACACAGUUUUCAAGAGUAAUAAGUUUUUCCUAUGUUGGAUCUUUUAGAUAAAAGGAAUAGGAAAUGGUUAAAGAGGGGAGGGG